CUAAAAACAGCUGUUUUGGUUUUAUUCAUCAUGGCUAUCGCACUGAAAUCAAGCGUUUUAAAGCCAUAUCAGUUUAAACUUCUGAAAUAUGGUUUUCUAAGCGCACAUAUCCG
Sinocyclocheilus grahami is the source of this 113-nucleotide long non-coding RNA. RefSeq lists it as uncharacterized. NCBI's taxonomy places the organism in Eukaryota, Metazoa, Chordata, Actinopteri, Cypriniformes, Cyprinidae. The transcript has 3 exons. The record is from RefSeq and is a predicted model, not a curated record.